AGUUCUGGUUAAGGAAUAUCUCUGGUAAACUAUUUACUGUAUAUACAUUAGCUCUUAUUAUUGCAUAUUAGAACAAUUUGCAUUUUCUAAUUAUCAUAUUCUUUCCAUUUUUCACUUUUGUUUAGCUAUUUGGUGCAUGCAAAGAUCUGAAAAUAAAUUAUUUGAACUUGAGAAACCAUUUUGAAUGACUAUGCAGCAUCCUUUCUAAAAAAAAAAAAUCAUAUUCACCCAAGUCAUUUUGACCAUCACUCCCAUCUUCUCGUCUUUAUUUUUAAAGUAAUUGAGAUCUUUCAUCCUAACCAAAUAUAGUGGAGUUUAAUAUACUAUGAGGAAAGGCUGGCAGUAAAAUUACUGCCAUAAUUAUUUAAUCUCAACAUAAAUUCUGUGACCAAAUGUAGGGAAAACACAUAGAUGAUUUUAACUGUAGUUUAAGGUUUAAACAAAAAACCUCAAAUCCAACCCGUUUUCUUUCUUCCCUUUCCGCCCCUUCCCAACCCCACCCCAUAAUGGAUGCUCGGUUGACUGCCUUUGCACGGUCUCUUUGUCUGAAGGAUGCAAACAGUCUAUGGAUGCUAGGGAAAAAGGGGUGGGGGAGAGAUUACCUCAUCCCAUGUCGUUUGCACCAAUCACCACUCUCCUGUCGUGGCUUCUCUGGGCAGAUUGAGGGGUCUGGACCAACAGGAAAAGGCCCUGGCCCAUCCCCAUGGUGACCGAGUUGUAUAUAGGGAGCCGCAUCCGCCUUUGCGCCGCAGGUUCUCUUACAUCGACCGCCUAAGAGUCGCGCUGUAAGAAGCAACAACCUCUCCUCUCCUCUCCUCUCCUCUCCGCCAUCUGCUCUGCAGCCGCGAAGCAGCAACCAUGGUAAGAAUGUGUUUUUUCCGGCUCUUUUUGGCCGGUGGGUGGAGUCAGAACCCUGGGAUAUUCUUGGAAAACCUUAAGCCCUUUUCUUUUGUAAUCUCUUUGGGUUCCGGUAGUCUUACGCUGUGUGAGGUUUAGUUAGCUUUGUUCUACCCUAAAUCCUUAAGCCCCGCUGCCGACGCAGUGCGGGAGCUGAAACCCGGGUAGAAAUGUGCCCAGGACGCUGGAGAAUCAUGGGGAAGAGCAAAGGCGGCGCGAGGGGUUUUUGUUACCCGAGAACCCUACGGGACCACAAGCAGCCCAUCUGCAGUGCGGGAAGGGUCUGGGGCCGGAAAAGGCGGUGGUUGUGUCCUGUACUGGGCCCUUGCAUUUCUGAGCCAGGAUUCGUUUAAUUCCAAGAAUCCCUUUUCUUUCUUAUAUCGCUCCCAAGAGCGGGGAGGGGAGGAGGAGGAGGAGUCUAAAAAAAGAGGAAGA
This 1332-nucleotide long non-coding RNA is filed under the name Marmota monax (woodchuck). The record is from RNAcentral. Lineage: Eukaryota; Metazoa; Chordata; Mammalia; Rodentia; Sciuridae.